RNAcentral lists this ribosomal RNA (450 nucleotides) under uncultured bacterium. Its description in RNAcentral is "partial 16S ribosomal RNA". It matches the Rfam family "Bacterial small subunit ribosomal RNA", at positions 354 to 796 of the family's 1533-position model. The record is from RNAcentral.
GUGGGGAAUUUUGGACAAUGGGCGCAAGCCUGAUCCAGCAAUGCCGCGUGCAGGAAGAAGGCCUUCGGGUUGUAAACUGCUUUUGUACGGAACGAAACGGUCCGGGUUAAUACCCUGGGCUAAUGACGGUACCGUAAGAAUAAGCACCGGCUAACUACGUGCCAGCAGCCGCGGUAAUACGUAGGGUGCAAGCGUUAAUCGGAAUUACUGGGCGUAAAGCGUGCGCAGGCGGUUUUGUAAGACAGGCGUGAAAUCCCCGGGCUCAACCUGGGAAUUGCGCUUGUGACUGCAAGGCUGGAGUGCGGCAGAGGGGGAUGGAAUUCCGCGUGUAGCAGUGAAAUGCGUAGAUAUGCGGAGGAACACCGAUGGCGAAGGCAGCCUCCUGGGAUAACACUGACGCUCAGGCACGAAAGCGUGGGGAGCAAACAGGAUUAGAUACCCCGGUAGUCC